ACGUAUAGUUGAUUUACAGUGUUGUGCCAAUUUCUGCUGUAUAGCAAAGUGACCCAGUCAUAGAUACAGACACAUUCCCUUCCUUGUACUAUCUUCCGUCGUGGCCUGUCCCAAGAGGCUGGAUAUAAUUCCCUGGCCUGUACAGUAGGACCUCCUUGCUUAUUCAUUUUAAAUGUAAUAGCCUGCAUCUACUAACCCCAAACUCCCAAUUGUUUGUAUCCCACACAGAACAACACAUUGAUAACUGCCAGUGAUGCCCAGGCCCCCCGGGGGAAGUCCCAGCUGGCAAGUUCCCCGAGGGUACUUUUCAAGGUUCCUCGUCCUGGAGGUCCUGACUCCCUCUUGUCUACCCUCCUCGUUUUUCGUCUGGGCAUUAGUCAUGAUGACUGAUCUUAACUCCCUGACUGGGCUCGGCUUUGUCUUGCUUCCACGCCUGCCUGAACAGGUUCUGUGCCUGCCACACUGUCCUCCCCCACCCAGAUCGGCCCUUCAGCUGCCUCUGAAAAUCCCCUGUAGCUCUGUUCAAAGGCUCCUCUCCAGGCUCUCCCUCCUCCCCCAACUCCUAACCUGUGCUGCUGCCAGUUCCCAUUUUACUUCUGCCGGGUUUUGCCUUCCAGCUUGGUCCCCAUUAGGAUGGUGUGUGGGUGUUAUUUUCCACUGGUUUUAAUUCUGUCUUUACACUUGAAUGCUGCCUGUGGGGGCUCCUUGAUUGCAAACUCUGAACACUGUGGGCCAGUACUAUCCCAUUUCACUCUACUUUUCAUCCUAAGUUCCUAGAACCCAAAUUGGAGUACACCAUUGCAAAUGUCCCCCCUUACCCAAGGGGAAAAAAAAGCUUUUCCAUGGACUUCCCUGGUGGCUCAGCGGGUUAAGAAUCUGAUGUCGUUACUGCUUGACUCUGGUUACUGCUGUGGAUCAGAUUUGGUCCCUGGCCUGGGAACUUCUGCAUGCCGUGGGCAUGGCCAAAAAAAAAACAAAAAACAAAAAACAAAAACAAAAAACAAAAAAACAAAACCCCAAAUAAAAAGCAAACAGCUCAUUUCCAGUAUCACCACUUUCUGGGUGCCCUCCUUGCCCUCCUAUAGGCAAAGGUACAUUUUUCCUGUUCUGUUGUCUCAUAAAACUACUGUAAUGGCUGUAAUUAUUGGUCUAGAUUUCUGUCUCUCCUUCUUGUUUGAGGUCAUAGAAGGAAUAUAUUAUCUUUAUCUCCCCAGCAGGUAACACAAGGCACAGUACCUCGGUAGACUACAAUGAUGUUUACUGGAUGCAUGAAUAAGUUAAUAAGCUAGAAAUAUUAAUUAAUAUGUGCUUUGUAAUAGAGUUUCCCGACUUAGUUUCUGAAUAUUAUACAAGAAUGGAAAGUGUUCCUACAAUGAAAUCAUGGGAGGAAUAGUUGUCAUUGAGCUCCCCCCAGUCCCUGCUCCCCCCCCACACUCCCAUCCCCCACUUCUACCCCCCAGUGUGGGCGCAGGAGACUCGCAGGAUAGCGAGAGCUUUUACUUACAAGAUGGAGCAGGAAGUGGCCUCUGACCCAGGGGUGAGAUGUCACGUUCACGCCCAGUCUCCAGAGGUCCACUAACCUAAGUUCUGUGAACAAUUCUAGGGCUAACUCCUAGGAAAAACACUGGAUAUUUACACAGCACAUUUUUCCCUAGUUUAAGCUAAAGAAGAAAAAAAAAAAAUGAAAAGAGGGGGAAAAGCCAAAAUUAAAUAAGCCAGCUGGUUUAACUUCUCUUUUUACAUAUUUUCCAUCGCAGUCCUCUCUUAGUCAUAAAGUCCUUCUCAACCAUUUCACGGCUUUUCCUUUGGCUGAAAUUUUUCAGUUUUUUUUCUCCAUUAAAAAAAAAUGCAGAAUGAAAGGUCGCGGAGAUUGUGACUUUUUUCUCUUUCUCUCCUCUGUCCUUCCCCCUCCCAGUGACACACACACACACACACACACACUCUCUCUCUCUCCAACUCCCAUCUUUCUUGAGGUGCAGAAAGUAGUAGACGUUCCUCCCCAGGGUCCCCGCCUGCCGGUGUCACACACCCCAUCCCGUCUACUCACAGGCAGGGCUUCCGAAGGAGCAAGAAGAACAGCUGCUGAGACACAAUAGUUCCUUACAGAGCCGGUAAAUAGACAAGGCCUCGUUUUCUUGACCUUCUCCGCCUCUGCUCGUUCUCAGA
RNAcentral lists this long non-coding RNA (2166 nucleotides) under Sus scrofa (pig). RNAcentral describes it as "lncRNA (ENSSSCG00000062577.1)". The record is from RNAcentral. Lineage: Eukaryota; Metazoa; Chordata; Mammalia; Artiodactyla; Suidae.